AGGGAGCGAACUCUGUCUAUGUCCGUCAAACAAACGAGGAAGUAAUGGCGUCUCGCGUCGUUUCGCUUUCCGAUAUUCCUGACAAAUUAUCAUAAAUGUGAAAUUACAAUGCGAAAUAAAUAGAAGUCAAAGGAAUUUGUAACUGGCUGCUACAUCGGUAGGCUCGAUAUAUCUUUAGAAAAUGACGAUAUCUAACAUUGACGGGGUGAAAUCUAUCCAAGUCAGAGAAAAUCGGAUAGCCGCCAUGUUGUCAACAUUGACAUCGAUACAAAGGAAAAGCGUGUGUGUGACGGAUACUGUAAAUGAAAACACGGAAAUUGUGGAACAUGUUCACACACUCUGGCUGUAAAAGAAGACCUGGGAGGAAAAUUGCCCCCGGUGUGGGGCUCGAACUCACAACCACCAGAACACUAGCCCGGCGCUCUAACCAACUAAGCUGACCGGGCAGCUGGUUCUAACCCACACACACUACCCUCCCCCCAUUUACCGGUUAAGGCUGGUGGAGGGUCUCCUGCUAUUUACCGUUGACACCAUUAAAGUAUUCUGAUUGAUGGAGAUAAGGAAGUCCCCUUAUUAUUGUCUUCAACAAGCCUACCGCAACAGGGGACCUAGCAUAAGAUCGGAAACCGCCCCCCCCCCCCCACACACACACGAUAUUUGCCAGUCCAGGCAAUGUCAACCGCAAGAGAAAACCAGUGAUGACAAGUUUUACAAAUAAUCGGAAAGUGUGGUCUUUUGAAGAGAGUUCUUGAAGUUGUUCAGCAUGUUGUUUUGAUGGAUUCUUGGAAGGAUGUACCUCUAUGAUGUUAGCUUCAGUUCUGGAUUAUAACACCAGUUGUUGCAUAUUUAAUAUCAGAUUUAUUUAAUACAUUGUUGUUUUGCAAACAUUACUUAAACUUUGAUAUUUCUUUGGUGUUUAUGUAUGAUAUUGUAGGUGAAUAUCUCUUUAUUGCAAUGGCAAAUAUAUUUUAAAAUAUAUAGCAUUAGCAGAAGUUAUUUUUCACUGUUAAAGCUGCACUUUCACAGAUUGAUCACUUUGACAACUUACACAGGAUUUGAUUGCAUUUAUCAUAUUUUGGCUCGGAGAAGUUUGCUUUGUGAUUUAUAUAUUAGUUCUUAAUUUAAAGAAUGCCAAAAUAAGCCGAUUCUGAGACAAAAAGUGUCAAACUAGAAUUCUGUGAGAGUGCAACUUUAAGAAUACUGUUAAUCGAGUGUGCAUGUGAUCCGGACUCUGAACAUUGGAUGAACUAUCAUUAAAUAUUGUAGAUUUACGUAAAUGGCCCAAAAUAUAAGAAUAACAAUGAAAAUAUGUACAUGUUUGACUUGUUCUUUAUUCAUACUAAGUCUAAGUCUUUACAGCA
Molecule: long non-coding RNA, 1361 nt
Organism: Mya arenaria
Lineage: Eukaryota; Metazoa; Mollusca; Bivalvia; Myida; Myidae
Exons: 3
Source: RefSeq, a predicted model, not a curated record